AAUUCUGUGCUUCAUUUUGUUCUCAUCCCUCCUUUACAGGUAACUGUUGUCAAUCCUGCCAUGGACAGAGUACUGUCACUCUUGCAAAAGUUCGCUCUUGAUGCUCAAAAGGGUAAAAUUCCGAAAGAUAAAUUACGAUUUGGUGCCCCAUGGAGGCACCCGCCAAAUAAGGACGACCCUUGCCUGCGUUCAGAAUGGGCUAAGCUUCAACUAAUGGAUUUCAUCCAAUCUUUAGUCAAUGCAGAGUUUGGGAUUAAUUAUUUUUCUGAUUGUAGUCUUGAGAUCUUUGAUGAUCCUUCUGUUAACGCAAUGAUUGAGGUUGGUUUACUCUACGUCCAACGUGAUCCAUCCUUCUUUCGCCCAAUAUCUGGUGCUAUUCAGAGAUGUCUUGUGAGAUGGCUUGUCCAGGAGAGAAUUCAAAUGAGCUUUAAAAAUUCACUCCUAUUUCAGUGGCACCGAGUUGUAAGGGGACGUAGCUAUCGUCAUCUCUUGUUGCAAGUAGGCAACAAAUAGAGUUCAAGUCUGGUUUCAGUUUAUGCAGAUCAAUGCUGAUUCUCUUGGUGGUGGUGCUUCCUCUCGAGCCUCAAGUUCUAAGUUCUAACAUAUUCCAUGAACAGAUGCUUUCAGAAGCUUCACCGUUGACCUCAGGAUAAGAACUCAAAUGAUGUAAGACACCAUCCUCCAUAUGAAGUUUCCCCCCGUAUGUGUGUGUAUGUAUAAAUGUGUGUGUGUGUAUAUAUAUAUAUAUAUAUAUUCAAAUGAACUCUGUAAAUAGUUUGAGAACCUGA
RNA transcript from Cynara cardunculus var. scolymus (artichoke), 788 nucleotides. RefSeq lists it as uncharacterized. The transcript has 6 exons. Lineage: Eukaryota; Viridiplantae; Streptophyta; Magnoliopsida; Asterales; Asteraceae. The record is from RefSeq and is a predicted model, not a curated record.